Molecule: ribosomal RNA, 233 nt
Filed under: uncultured bacterium
Lineage: Bacteria
Description: partial 16S ribosomal RNA
Rfam family: Bacterial small subunit ribosomal RNA
Source: RNAcentral
CGGACGGGUGAGUAAUGCGUAGGAAUCUACCUUCAAGUGGGGGAUAGCCCGGAGAAAUCCGGAUUAAUACCGCAUGUUCUCUACGGAGAAAAGCGGGCCUCUGAUUCAAGCUCGCGCUUGGGGAUGAGCCUACGUCGGAUUAGCUAGUUGGUGGGGUAAAGGCCUACCAAGGCGACGAUCCGUAGCUGGUUUGAGAGGAUGACCAGCCACACUGGGACUGAGACACGGCCCAG